AUAUUACGAUGGUGAAGGUGGUUUUUCCUAGAGCAGACUUAUCCACUGCACUCCAUAUGUGCUGACCCCUGAGAUUUCCCCAGAUGUGGGAAACUUGACUGCAUAAUUUGUGGUAGUAGGAGAUUGCAUUCAUGCUUUCCCCUG
This 144-nucleotide small nuclear RNA is filed under the name Cebus imitator (Panamanian white-faced capuchin). RNAcentral describes it as "U1 spliceosomal RNA (ENSCCAG00000001850.1)". It matches the Rfam family "U1 spliceosomal RNA", at positions 21 to 166 of the family's 166-position model. Rfam says of the family: U1 is a small nuclear RNA (snRNA) component of the spliceosome (involved in pre-mRNA splicing). Its 5' end forms complementary base pairs with the 5' splice junction, thus defining the 5' donor site of an intron. There are significant differences in sequence and secondary structure between metazoan and yeast U1 snRNAs, the latter being much longer (568 nucleotides as compared to 164 nucleotides in human). Lineage: Eukaryota; Metazoa; Chordata; Mammalia; Primates; Cebidae. The record is from RNAcentral.